UCGGACACACUGUUAAGUGUUACAGUGUUAGGAGAGAGAUGGGUGAGGGGACCUGGAGAGGUAAGGGGCCUGGAAAUGGCCCUGACAGAGAACUUGUGCUGACCGGGAGAAGGUGGCACGGAAGGGCACCACAGGCAUUCCACAGGCCAUUCCUCCUCCUCCAUGUGCACGCACAUCCAACACACACCUUCCAUGUGACCGCUUCUCAGCCACCACCUUCUGACCAAAGAGAACAGGAGCUCCAAGGAGAACCUGUACCCCUGCCCCAGCCACGCCUUCCUAAGAAGCAGUGUCUGGAGUUGGCUGUUUCCCACCUCCCCAACUGCAUGUGCAGCCCAAUGGUAGGCAGGUCCUCUGGUGCAGUUCCCAAAAUGUUCCUCGCCCUUUCUCCGUGGUCACCAUACAUAACUCAUGUUCGCUUUAAUGAGUUACAUGCUUAACAGCCACAGGCCAUUACUGCCCUUAUAGAUGGGUCUGGGGGCGACAUUCCUGGCCAACCCCUUGCUAGGAAAGACCAGAUGAUACCCGGGAAGCAAGUAGCUCUGGUUUUAACCUCACAGGAAGCCUCUGCAUCCUCCUUCAUUUCAGCAGGGAAAACUCCUGUGGAGUGGGCCCUACCUGGGGCAUUUACAGGCUUCCAGCUGUAUUCCAUCCCUGGAAGCUGAUACCUUUCUAUAGAGUCCUUUUAUGAGAGCUCAGUGGGAAGGUCUGUCAAGAAAUUCAGCUUCUUGUACAGACAAAUUCAUGCAAAUUUAUAUUAUUUUCACAAAAACCAGAAGCCAUGGGUAAUCCAAAGACUUAAAGUCUAAAGAUGGUGGCUUUUUAAACAUGAACAUUCCAAAAAAAUCGUUUUUGUUUUGGGUUUGGCUAGAUUCUCUUAUUUGUCCCUUUUUGGCUUAAGUAUCAGUUUCAUUCUACUGAAAUGAUGGAGAGAGGGCCUAAGGUUACUAGGUAAUUGAGCUAAUGGUGCAGGGAAAAUGGUUGAGAAAGGAAGCCUAGUUUUCAGAAGCCUGACACAGAGCUAGUUCGCUGUUCUCUACUCCUUAACACGUUAACCAGAGACUCUUGGGUGUCGAGCAGGCACCCAGGAAGGCACAGGGAAGCAUCAGCAACCAAGGUCGUCUCUGCCCUCUGUAACUGACAUGUUGGUGCCAUCAGAAUCUGAAUUGGAACCUACCUGAAGGGCCCAGUGGAAUAGCUUUUCUGGGGAGUGGAAGGCAUCCUUGAUCACAGAGCUUUGCUGUUGAAUCCUGGAGUCUUGCAACAUGGUGACGCCUCAGUAGUUGGUGAUCCUGAUCACCUUUGACGGCUUGUUUUAGUGGAAAGAGCAAGGGACUAGAGGUCAGGAGACCCAGGACCCAGUCCUGAAGCUGCCAAGGUUAGAUCUUGCCCCCAAUUUAGUUCAUUGCCCCCAAUUUGUCUGGCCUGUAAAAUGAAGGGGGAGAGUUGCACAAACCUAAAACUAUUCUGGUUUUGUUAUACCCAUUGUGCUGCCAGUAGGGGUGGGACUGCCCAUUGCUGGCAAGGAACUGGAAACAGUAGCAAGCAUGGUGAGUGCUGGGGAGCUGGUUGGGGGGUUCUCUCCUGUUCGAAGAAGAAGCUUUCACCAUGGGCUUCAUUAUCUUGUCAGACGUGUUGUGAAUUAGUUUCCACCAGGGACCCCUUUAUCCCAAACAACAACACGAAAUACACCCUAAGCCUCAGAGUAAAAUUGAUGUGGGGCUAUCCUUUGGCUAUUGGGUCAUCUGUGCUGCUCCCCACUCAUUUCUGAUUGGUUUGCAAACGUGUCUUUUGCCAGGGCAGGGCAUAGUAUGCACAUAGGCAUGUUAUGUGCCUAGGUUUCAGGCACUGCUUCUGUAAGGGAAAAUGGGAGUAGCCUUCCUCCACCCUGAUCCUUAGGAACAUUCCUCCGGCCCAGGGACAGCUUGCUCUUCUUACCAAACAGGUGAAGCCUGCAGUCCAAGGUGCCUGGAGCCAGAGGUCGGGGAGUAUGCACAGCUGCCCCCACCUGAGAGGGAGCAGCUUGCAAGGGGAGCCAGUGGAGGGAAAGGGGUACAACAGUUUUGGAAUACAUUCUGGAUCUUGAAAAGGAUCUUGUGAUUUUGGCUGAGCCAUGGUCACUUCCCUCGUAAAGGGCCCGCCCUAUAUCCUAAAUUCUGGAUCCCUCAAAGUCCAGCCACAGAAUUUGCAUGAAGCAAAAAGCCUACUCAGUGAGAAAGGCAAGGGUCCAAGAUGGGAGCAGUGCUGUGCUCUCAUCACUGUCUCGCUUGGAGUGAAAAUGUUCAUGUGAGCACCCUGUCUUCAGGCAGUAUGCUCUCCCCUUAUCCCAGCAGGGCUACUUUCCUCUUCACUCUGAGGGGAGCUUUAGCUGCUUUCAAAAUGGAGCACGUUGCACUGGAGUUUCGUGCCCUCUCGUUAACCUGUCAGGAGCCACAGUCCCAGGCUCCAUAAAACGGAAUCGAUGUCUCAGUAUACAUGACCCACGUUCAUAGCAAUGUUCAGCCAUUUGGGUUUGAAGAAAGCCGCAUUAAAGCCAAGACCCCGUUUGGAGCGAACUGCCUUGUUCUUUGCUGUGUGGAAGGUUCUGUCCCCACAGCUAAGCUCCAGUUCCUCCCCAAGCAUCCUGGCCUCAGAAAUCCUGGCUUCCCUAAGUUAGUGCUGUCUGACCUGAGCCAGGCCACCGCUUGGUGCCUCUAUAGGCCACUGUGCAUGUUGAUAAUCGCCCAAAAGGAUUAGUGAAGCUCCUGACCCUGGCAAGGCCGUAAUGAACACUGAAGUGCACAGGCCGAGGGAUGUAAUUGAAAGGCAUUUAUUUUUGUGAAGACGCUAUAAAAUUAGCAUUUAAAUAUCCCAUUCCCUUCUCUUGGCCUCCUCCUAUCCCCCUAUGGUAUUUCUCCUCCUCUCCUCAAGGCCAGGCUUUUUGUGAAAGGCAUUGGCUCACCUUUGUCAGCGUGGUCCCGAUGCUCACUUCUGGGCUGCUGGAGAGGACUGAGAGAUGUGUAAUUUGGUAGGAAGGAGGUGUGUGGGGGGUUAGUGGGGAAUCCCAUUUUUUUGCAUCACUGUGAGGGAGCUCCAGGCCCUGUCCCUGGAGAAAUAAUUGCUGCGCAGAAGUCACAGGCCAUACUGGGCAGUUCUGGUACAAACCUGCCCUUAAUAAUAAUAAAAUAAUAAUAAUAAUAACUCCAUUUGCAUAGAACUGUCACUCAUUCCUGCCAGUCUGCUGUCCCUACCCUGGUUUUUUGCUGGCCCCAACCACUGGCCUUGUUGAGUACUGAUGGGCCCUGAGCUCUUCUGUUUGCUUCUGGAGCUCUUCAGAUGCUGCCCCCCUGAGAAUACCCUAACUCUGGGGAGAGAGCAGCCAAAAUCCCAAUACAAUGAAACUCCACACAAUCUUGUUAGCAACAGUGACCCAGAAAAUUUUGAGGUGUCCAAUUUCACCAGAAGAGGCCCAGGGCUCCCUUUGGUCACAUUUUCUACCCAGCCAUUCUUGGGAUUGCAACAUCCAUUUCUAGCUCCAGUUUAAUUUUCUCCACCCAGACCCCAGAAAUAAAUGGAUCCAUGAUGAUAAUUAAGAGAAGAGAAAAAAAAAGAUAUUAUUUUUGUUAGGACAAACCAUCGUAGGUUUUUAGCAAUGUGUAUCUGUGUGUCCCUCACACCUUUUCCUAUUCUACUUUUUUUCUUUUUUUUAAAAUAUUAUGUACUAUAUUUUUAGUCUCAAACACACUAUAUAUUAUAUAUAUUUAAUUUUUUUAUAUAUAUAAAUAUAAAUGUUUUAAAAAGUA
Molecule: non-coding RNA, 3782 nt
Organism: Chlorocebus sabaeus (green monkey)
Lineage: Eukaryota; Metazoa; Chordata; Mammalia; Primates; Cercopithecidae
Source: RefSeq, a predicted model, not a curated record